This 336-nucleotide unclassified non-coding RNA is filed under the name soil metagenome. Its description in RNAcentral is "partial contains 5.8S ribosomal RNA, internal transcribed spacer 2, and large subunit ribosomal RNA". The stretch from base 1 to 120 matches the Rfam family "5.8S ribosomal RNA", at positions 35 to 154 of the family's 154-position model. The record is from RNAcentral.
GAUGAAGAACGCAGUGAAAUGCGAUAAGUAAUGUGAAUUUCAGAAUUCAGUGAAUCAUCGAAUCUUUGAACGCACAUUGCGCCCGCCAGUAUUCUGGCGGGCAUGCCUGUUCGAGCGUCAUUUCAACCAUCAAGCCCCAGGCUUGUGUUGGGGACCUGCGGCUGCCGCAGGCCCUGAAAACCAGUGGCGGGCUCGCUGUCACACCGGGCGUAGUAGAUUUUAUCUCGCUCAGGGCGUGCUGCGGGUUCCGGCCGUUAAAAAGCCUUUUUUACCCAAGGUUGACCUCGGAUCAGGUAGGAAUACCCGCUGAACUUAAGCAUAUCAAUAAGCGGAGGA